RNAcentral lists this long non-coding RNA (640 nucleotides) under Vigna radiata. RNAcentral's name for it is "long non-coding RNA (VRAD_LNC008000)". Lineage: Eukaryota; Viridiplantae; Streptophyta; Magnoliopsida; Fabales; Fabaceae. The record is from RNAcentral.
UAUUUGAAGUGAUAUUCAAAUUAUUAUGUAUUAUUAUAGUAGAUUUAUUAUUUUGUUGUUGCUUAAUAAUUGUCUUAAUGGAUAUAUGUGGUUUUACGGGAUGAUUGUGAGUAUGAUACAAUUUUCUUAUGGAGUUGUAUUUUAUGUUGUGGUACCCGGUGAAGCUUUUGGAAGUGUGGUGGAAGUAGCACUGAUACUUGUUCGGUGAAGCUCUUUGUGAAUAGAGUGGUAGGGUGUAUACUUGUCCGGUGAAGCCCAAGAGGAUGGUGGAAAGUAUAUACUUGCCCGGGGAAGCUCUAAGAGAGUGGUGGGAAGUGGUGUACUUGCCGGUGAAGCCUUCUAGAGAGUGGUGGGAGAUGUCAUUGUGUAAGGAUAUGGUAAAGUGUACUGGCCCAGUGAGAGUGGUGGGGGGUGACACUUAAGUAACCGAUUGUGAUUCAAUUAUUGUGGUGAAUGGUUUCAAAAAAUUAGGUAUGAGUUAGUGAGUGACUGAGUGAGUCGGAGCGUGAUUUGGUUACUUUGAUGAAAUAAUUGUAUGAUUAUAUGUGGGUGAUUUUGAUUUCUGAUAGUGUAGUUGUUAAUGCACUUGUCGACCUGGGUUCAACAAACUUCACCAAACUAAUGCACUUGUCGACCUGGG